This 425-nucleotide ribosomal RNA is filed under the name uncultured bacterium. RNAcentral's name for it is "partial 16S ribosomal RNA". It matches the Rfam family "Bacterial small subunit ribosomal RNA", at positions 354 to 796 of the family's 1533-position model. The record is from RNAcentral.
GUGGGGAAUAUUGGACAAUGGGCGCAAGCCUGAUCCAGCCAUGCCGCGUGAGUGAUGAAGGCCUUAGGGUUGUAAAGCUCUUUUGUCCGGGAAGAUAAUGACUGUACCGGAAGAAUAAGCCCCGGCUAACUUCGUGCCAGCAGCCGCGGUAAUACGAAGGGGGCUAGCGUUGUUCGGAAUCACUGGGCGUCAAGCGCACGUAGGCGGACCAUUAAGUCAGGGGUGAAAGCCUGGAGCUCAACUCCAGAACUGCCUUUGAUACUGAUGGUCUCGAGUAUGGAAGAGGUUGGUGGAACUGCGAGUGUAGAGGUGAAAUUCGUAGAUAUUCGCAAGAACACCGGUGGCGAAGGCGGCCACCUGGACAGGUACUGACGCUGAGGAGCGAAAGCGUGGGGAGCAAACAGGAUUAGAAACCCCUGUAGUCC